This 378-nucleotide unclassified non-coding RNA is filed under the name uncultured Gemmatimonadaceae bacterium. RNAcentral describes it as "contains 16S-23S intergenic spacer region". Lineage: Bacteria; Pseudomonadati; Gemmatimonadota; Gemmatimonadia; Gemmatimonadales; Gemmatimonadaceae. The record is from RNAcentral.
UCCGGCUUAACACCGGCAGUCCCUCUAGAGUGCCCAACUGAAUGCUGGCAACUAGAGACGGGGGUUGCGCUCGUUGCGGGACUUAACCCAACAUCUCACGACACGAGCUGACGACAGCCAUGCAGCACCUGUGCACGGACUCCGAAGAGGGCCCGGUGUUUCCACCGGGUUUCCCCUGCAUGUCAAGCCUAGGUAAGGUUCUUCGCGUUGCGUCGAAUUAAACCACAUGCUCCACCGCUUGUGCGGGCCCCCGUCAAUUCCUUUGAGUUUCAGCCUUGCGGCCGUACUCCCCAGGCGGGGCACUUCAUGCGUUAGCGCCGGCACCCAGGGGGUCGCUCCCCCAAGCACCUAGUGCCCAUCGUUUACGGCGUGGACUAC